This 395-nucleotide unclassified non-coding RNA is filed under the name uncultured Russulaceae. RNAcentral's name for it is "sequence contains ITS1". The stretch from base 1 to 103 matches the Rfam family "5.8S ribosomal RNA", at positions 50 to 154 of the family's 154-position model. The record is from RNAcentral. Lineage: Eukaryota; Fungi; Basidiomycota; Agaricomycetes; Russulales; Russulaceae.
GAAAUGCGAUACGUAAUGUGAAUUGCAGAAUUCAGUGAAUCAUCAAACUCUUGAACGCACCUUGCGCCUUGAGGUCACUCAAGGCAUGCCUGUUUCAGGGUCGGUUUAUAACUCUCCGCAAACACCAAGUGUGUGUGUGGGAUUUGGCAGUCGCAGGCUUUGUGCUUGCGUUUGCUGAAAUGUAUGAGCUUACCAGCAAACCGAGUCGUUAACUGCGAACGGUUGGGAAGCGAUGAGUGUUGAAUGCGGCAUUGCGCCCAUACAUGUCUCAUCAGCCCAGUCGCAAGUGGUUAGCCUCUUGUUGGCGAGCGGUCAACCAACAUGCUUCACAGCAUUGUGACGCGAUCCUUUCACACUUCGACCUGAAAUCAGGUAGGGCAACCCGCUGAAUUUAA